RNAcentral lists this transfer RNA (84 nucleotides) under Podoviridae sp. ctLPy3. RNAcentral's name for it is "tRNA-Leu". It matches the Rfam family "tRNA". From Rfam's summary of the family: Transfer RNA (tRNA) molecules are approximately 80 nucleotides in length. Their secondary structure includes four short double-helical elements and three loops (D, anti-codon, and T loops). The record is from RNAcentral. Lineage: Duplodnaviria; Heunggongvirae; Uroviricota; Caudoviricetes. RNAcentral also lists the same sequence under 1 other name.
GGCGUAAUGGCGGAAUUGGUAUACGCACCAUUCUUAAACAGUGGCGUUCAAUAGAAUUUGUGGGUUCGAUUCCCACUUACGCUA